This 306-nucleotide unclassified non-coding RNA is filed under the name uncultured fungus. RNAcentral describes it as "sequence contains ITS1". The stretch from base 1 to 105 matches the Rfam family "5.8S ribosomal RNA", at positions 50 to 154 of the family's 154-position model. The record is from RNAcentral. Lineage: Eukaryota; Fungi.
AAAAUGCGAUAAGUAGUGUGAAUUGCAGAAUUCAGUAAAUCAUCAAAUCUUUGAACGCACAUUGCGCCCUUUAGUAUUCCUUAGGGCAUGCCUGUUCAAGCGUUAUUUAAACCCUUAAGCUUAGCUUAGUAUUAGGCGUCUGUCCCCCCCACUACGUGGGCGGGGACUCGCCUUAAAUCAAUUAGCGGCCAGUACGUUGGCUUCGAGCGCAGCAGAAACGCGAACUUGGGCCCUAGCAAGCCGGCUCCCAAAAGCCAUACUCCUAAUUUUAACCUCAGAUCAGGUAGGGAUACCUACUGAACUUAA